CGCAAUGGGCGAAAGCCUGACGGAGCAAUGCCGCGUGAAGGAUGAAGGCCUGUGGGUUGUAAACUUCUUUUUUCAGAGAAGAAAUUUUGACGGUAUUUGAGGAAUAAGCAUCGGCUAACUCUGUGCCAGCAGCCGCGGUAAGACAGAGGAUGCAAGCGUUAUCCGGAAUGAUUGGGCGUAAAGCGUCUGUAGGUGGCUUGACAAGUCUCCUGUCAAAGAUCAGGGCUUAACCCUGGGCCGGCAGGAGAAACUAUCCGGCUAGAGUUCGGUAGGGGCAGAGGGAAUUCCCGGUGGAGCGGUGAAAUGCGUAGAUAUCGGGAGGAACACCAACGGCGAAAGCACUCUGCUGGGCCAGAUUUAUGAUGUACUUCGGUACCAA
This 379-nucleotide ribosomal RNA is filed under the name uncultured organism. RNAcentral describes it as "bacterial SSU rRNA". It matches the Rfam family "Bacterial small subunit ribosomal RNA", at positions 367 to 757 of the family's 1533-position model. The record is from RNAcentral.